Molecule: long non-coding RNA, 88 nt
Filed under: Carlito syrichta (Philippine tarsier)
Lineage: Eukaryota; Metazoa; Chordata; Mammalia; Primates; Tarsiidae
Description: Pvt1 onco conserved region 3 (ENSTSYG00000029204.1)
Rfam family: Pvt1 oncogene conserved region 3
Source: RNAcentral
CCCCCCCAAUGGUUGUGACUGUCAGCUGCAUGGAGUCUCAUCCCAGGGUUUUUUUAGAUUGAUGGAUUUACAGUGGUCAACUGUCUCA